UACAGAGGGGGCAAGCGUUGUUCGGAAUUACUGGGCGUAAAGGGCGCGUAGGCGGCCUUCUAAGUCGAACGUGAAAUCCCCGGGCUCAACCCGGGAACUGCGUCCGAUACUGGAAGGCUUGAAUCCGGGAGAGGGAUGCGGAAUUCCAGGUGUAGCGGUGAAAUGCGUAGAUAUCUGGAGGAACACCGGUGGCGAAGGCGGCGUUCUGGACAGUGACUGACGCUGAGACGCGAAAGCGUGGGGAGCAAACAGG
Molecule: ribosomal RNA, 253 nt
Filed under: uncultured bacterium
Lineage: Bacteria
Description: partial 16S ribosomal RNA
Rfam family: Bacterial small subunit ribosomal RNA
Source: RNAcentral